AUUUUUUCAAUCUUUAUUAAUAAUUUUUUAUUUUAUUACUUUAAAUAACUAACUUAUGUACUAACUUCAUUAAUAUUUCUAAUAACCAAACCUGCCCCUCUACUAGAUCCCAGCACUGCUCUGCACCAGACGACCUCCGAGUCCUCUGCCACAGUGUCGUAUUACACACCUGAGUUUAACAUGCUGAGUUCUUCUCUUUGUUUCUGAAGUGAAGAUAUUUUUCCUUCUCGGGAGAGUCGCUCACCUCCUGCUGAGCAUCUCCUCUCACACUGCUGCCUCUUCCUCUCUGACAGAAAACUGCUCUUUAAGACAUCAGUGAGUCUUCUUUUCCACUUCAUAUUCACGCAGAGCUGCGUUCGUCUGUGGAGGAAACACUCAGCAGACUUCAGUUAACACCGGAGAUUCACCGCCAGUCUGCCUGAAGCUGUUUGAACGAAGCGACGGGAUGCUUAUGAGGAGGUUCUGCUUCACAACAUCAGACCGAAACCCAGUUGAUAUGCUGAGGACAUAAAAUAAACAACUUCAAUCUCACGCAAGCAGACAAGCUCAAAGGUCACAACAGCUGGCUUGCUUUUAAAAGGAUUACAUGUAUGUAUCCAGUGCCAGGAUGUCAUUUCUGACCUCCAACAGAGAUGAAACAUACAGAUCUUUUUUACCCUCCCUGACCUGAAAAUCAGUCUCAGAGCUGUUCGCCACCGCCUGACCUUGAUGACAAAAACCUUCCAUGAGCCUGGAGAAAAGUCUGCUCGCCCACAGAGAGCUUUCAGCGCUGUUGGUAAUUGGAUCCUGGUCUUCCUCUGCCCUCCGUCGCUCCUCUCUGUUCUCUCCGCUGGAGGUGUCAUCAUCGGUGCUCUAAUAAGGCGAAGGCCACAAACGCCUUCAGCGAGUCAUUAUUCACAGUAAUGACUUCUCACUCACCUCUGAAUACACUCAGCUCCUCACUUACAGGACAAGUUGUAUCUGUGCACACCGAGCUGGACCUCAGACUCAGGUCAUCAGAUACUAAAACCCAAGAACAGAUUUUACAGGCUUGUUUCAUCCCUUUAAAUAAAAUGUUCUUAUAUUCACAGCG
Molecule: long non-coding RNA, 1072 nt
Organism: Micropterus salmoides (largemouth bass)
Lineage: Eukaryota; Metazoa; Chordata; Actinopteri; Centrarchiformes; Centrarchidae
Exons: 2
Source: RefSeq, a predicted model, not a curated record